Molecule: ribosomal RNA, 600 nt
Filed under: uncultured Pseudomonadota bacterium
Lineage: Bacteria; Pseudomonadati; Pseudomonadota
Description: bacterial SSU rRNA
Rfam family: Bacterial small subunit ribosomal RNA
Source: RNAcentral
ACAGGAAGAAGCUUGCUUCUUUGCUGACGAGUGGCGGACGGGUGAGUAAUGUCUGGGAAACUGCCUGAUGGAGGGGGAUAACUACUGGAAACGGUAGCUAAUACCACAUAACGUCGCAAGACCAAAGAGGGGGACCUUCGGGCCUCUUGCCAUCGGAUGUGCCCAGAUGGGAUUAGCUAGUAGGUGGGGUAACGGCUCACCUAGGCGACGAUCCCUAGCUGGUCUGAGAGGAUGACCAGCCACACUGGAACUGAGACACGGUCCAGACUCCUACGGGAGGCAGCAGUGGGGAAUAUUGCACAAUGGGCGCAAGCCUGAUGCAGCCAUGCCGCGUGUAUGAAGAAGGCCUUCGGGUUGUAAAGUACUUUCAGCGGGGAGGAAGGGAGUAAAGUUAAUACCUUUACUCAUUGACGUUACCCGCAGAAGAAGCACCGGCUAACUCCGUGCCAGCAGCCGCGGUAAUACGGAGGGUGCAAGCGUUAAUCGGAAUUACUGGGCGUAAAGCGCACGCAGGCGGUUUGUUAAGUCAGAUGUGAAUCCCCGGGCUCAACCUGGGAACUGCAUCUGAUACUGGCAAGCUUGAGUCUCGUAGAGGGGGGU